Molecule: long non-coding RNA, 326 nt
Organism: Calidris pugnax (ruff)
Lineage: Eukaryota; Metazoa; Chordata; Aves; Charadriiformes; Scolopacidae
Exons: 3
Source: RefSeq, a predicted model, not a curated record
GCUAAGAGUGGUGAAGGACAUUUCCAAUUUGUGGCACUGUGGUGGCAAGACAGGCUUGGAGAAGACCUGAAAGAAGAAGAGCCCUGCUGUAGAAUUGGACCCUUAAAACCAAUUAAUUUCUUUGAAGGAAAGUCAGCCGUAUCCAAAAAGUGUCAAGAAACAGAGAAACGAUCUAUGGUCAUUAAAACCCAGAGGCACUAGGUACCAGAACCCAUGCUUUGCUACUGUGUGACCCAGAAUGUUUACAGCAAUACGAAGUAACAUCAGAAUGAAGUUUUCAAUAACCUUAUUCUGACUCCUUAUGAAGACUUUCCAGAAGUCCUCAG